UGUCUCCUCCAUCUCCUCAAAAGGAUGGAUUAAGCCCCAGGCCUCCGGCCCGGGGCUUUUUUU
Molecule: non-coding RNA, 63 nt
Filed under: Acidovorax sp. MR-S7
Lineage: Bacteria; Pseudomonadati; Pseudomonadota; Betaproteobacteria; Burkholderiales; Comamonadaceae
Description: Betaproteobacteria toxic small RNA
Rfam family: Betaproteobacteria toxic small RNA
About the family: Overexpression in amino aid rich medium attenuates growth, suggesting role in repressing amino acid intake and metabolism.
Source: Rfam by way of RNAcentral